GGUGAGUAACACGUGGAUAACCUACCUAUAAGACUGGGAUAACUUCGGGAAACCGGAGCUAAUACCGGAUAAUAUUUUGAACCGCAUGGUUCAAAAGUGAAAGACGGUCUUGCUGUCACUUAUAGAUGGAUCCGCGCUGCAUUAGCCAGUUGGUAAGGUAACGGCUUACCAAGGCAACGAUGCAUAGCCGACCUGAGAGGGUGAUCGGCCACACUGGAACUGAGACACGGUCCAG
Molecule: ribosomal RNA, 235 nt
Filed under: uncultured Staphylococcus sp.
Lineage: Bacteria; Bacillati; Bacillota; Bacilli; Caryophanales; Staphylococcaceae
Description: partial 16S ribosomal RNA
Rfam family: Bacterial small subunit ribosomal RNA
Source: RNAcentral